GGCAGACAAAACAGCAUCAACAUACUGAAGAAGGCACUCCCAAAGACGUCACCAAUCGUUGCAGGGGAGUUGGACCAGAUGACCUCUAAUGGUCCCUUCCAACUCAAACAAUGCUAUGAUCUAUGGUUCAAUGAAAGGACCCCGAGCUGGCCCAAAGCCACCAACCAGCAAGGAGUUUAGCCAGUAGAGGUCCUUGAGCCACAACCAUCGAGCUUCCCCUCGUGAAGCCGGGGCUUCAGCCCUGCGGAGCAGUGGGAAAUGGAACAUCGGGAGCCUCAGUCACAACAACUGCGAGUCCGAUACACGGAAAACACUUGGAAAAUAUCGACGGGAUGCCAAGUAGCUGUCUUUCCCUGCUUUGUUUGCAAGCCACCCAGGGCUAGAAGCACAUUUACAAGCGCUCAGGACCCUGGAGAAGAAGAGCAAACCGAGUAUGAAAAGAAAGAAACCCGACCCGCUGCUGAGGAAGAUGUGGGAAGGAUGAAUCGGAUGUGUCUGACACCGCAGAAUGGGGGGAGCUCUAGCAAAUACUUUUGCCAGCAGUUUACUCUCAUAGAAAUGUGUGUGUUGGCCAACAGCAAGUGAUGAGUGAAGUGUGGCUGUGCCUGAUGGAUCCGUGCUGCUGUGCAAGCCAGGCGUCAGUCCCAGCUCCAUGCUGUGAGCUUGCAGCUGGGGGAGUACACAGCUACCAGCUCCUGCUCCACACACAUGCCCUGCUUUGAGGAAUGCAGUUGGGAUGUUGGGAUGCUGGGAUGUUAGGAUUCUGGGAUGUUGGGACACUGAGAUGUUGGGAUGCUGAGAUAUUGGGGUGCUGGGAUCUUGGGAUGCUGGGAAAUUGGGAUGCUGGUGUGUUGGAAUGCUAGGAUGUUGGGUUGCUGGGAUGCUGGGAUGCUGGGAUGUUGGGAUAUUGGGAUGCUGAGAAAUUGGGAUGCUGGUGUGUUGGAAUGCUAGGAUGUUGGAAUGAUAGGAUGCUGGGAUGUUGGGAUGUUGGAAUGCUAGGAUGCUGGGAUACUGGAAUGCUGGGAUAUUGGGAUGCUGGGUUGUUGGGAUGCUGGGAAAUUGGGAUGCUGGUGUGGUGGAUUGCUAGAGUGUAGGGAAACUGGGAUGUUGGUGUGGUGGAUUGCUAGAGUGUAGGGAUAUUGGGAUGCUAGUGUGUUGGGAUUCUGGGAUGUUGGGAUGCUGGGUUGUUGGGAUGCUGGAAUAUUGGAAUGCUGGUGUGUUGGGUAUUGGAAUGCUGAGAUGUUGGGAUGUCAAGAUGCUGGGAUGUUGAGAUGUUGGAAUGGUGGAUGUUGGGAUGCUGGGAUAUUGGAAUGCUGGGGUGUUGGUAUGAUGAGAAAUUGGGAUGUUGGGAUGUCAAGAUGUUGGGAUGCUAGUAUGUUGGGAUGUCGGGAUGCUGGUCUGCUGGGUAAUUGGGAUGUUGGGAUGUCAAGAUGUUGGGAUGCUGACAUGUUGGAAUUCUGGGGUGCUGGGAUGCUGGAAUGAUGAGAUGUUGCAGUGCUGGGAUAUUAGAAUGCUGAGAUUUUGGAAUGAUGAGGGGUUGCUGUCACACCCUGUUCCCUGGUUUAUUUUGCCCAGCAAGAAGA
Molecule: long non-coding RNA, 1583 nt
Organism: Numida meleagris (helmeted guineafowl)
Lineage: Eukaryota; Metazoa; Chordata; Aves; Galliformes; Numididae
Source: Ensembl